This 575-nucleotide ribosomal RNA is filed under the name Stenotrophomonas sp. RNAcentral describes it as "bacterial SSU rRNA". It matches the Rfam family "Bacterial small subunit ribosomal RNA", at positions 169 to 739 of the family's 1533-position model. Lineage: Bacteria; Pseudomonadati; Pseudomonadota; Gammaproteobacteria; Lysobacterales; Lysobacteraceae. The record is from RNAcentral.
CCGCAUACGACCUACGGGUGAAAGCAGGGGAUCUUCGGACCUUGCGCGAUUGAAUGAGCCGAUGUCGGAUUAGCUAGUUGGCGGGGUAAAGGCCCACCAAGGCGACGAUCCGUAGCUGGUCUGAGAGGAUGAUCAGCCACACUGGAACUGAGACACGGUCCAGACUCCUACGGGAGGCAGCAGUGGGGAAUAUUGGACAAUGGGCGCAAGCCUGAUCCAGCCAUACCGCGUGGGUGAAGAAGGCCUUCGGGUUGUAAAGCCCUUUUGUUGGGAAAGAAAUCCAGCCGGCUAAUACCCGGUUGGGAUGACGGUACCCAAAGAAUAAGCACCGGCUAACUUCGUGCCAGCAGCCGCGGUAAUACGAAGGGUGCAAGCGUUACUCGGAAUUACUGGGCGUAAAGCGUGCGUAGGUGGUCGUUUAAGUCCGUUGUGAAAGCCCUGGGCUCAACCUGGGAACUGCAGUGGAUACUGGGCGACUAGAGUGUGGUAGAGGGUAGCGGAAUUCCUGGUGUAGCAGUGAAAUGCGUAGAGAUCAGGAGGAACAUCCAUGGCGAAGGCAGCUACCUGGACCAACA